This 429-nucleotide ribosomal RNA is filed under the name Chloroflexota bacterium. RNAcentral's name for it is "Chloroflexi bacterium partial 16S ribosomal RNA". It matches the Rfam family "Bacterial small subunit ribosomal RNA", at positions 355 to 776 of the family's 1533-position model. Lineage: Bacteria; Bacillati; Chloroflexota. The record is from RNAcentral.
UAGGGAAUCUUCGGCAAUGGACGAAAGUCUGACCGAGCAACGCCGCGUGAGUGAAGAAGGUUUUCGGAUCGUAAAACUCUGUUGUUAGAGAAGAACAAGGACGUUAGUAACUGAACGUCCCCUGACGGUAUCUAACCAGAAAGCCACGGCUAACUACGUGCCAGCAGCCGCGGUAAUACGUAGGUGGCAAGCGUUGUCCGGAUUUAUUGGGCGUAAAGCGAGCGCAGGCGGUUUCUUAAGUCUGAUGUGAAAGCCCCCGGCUCAACCGGGGAGGGUCAUUGGAAACUGGGAGACUUGAGUGCAGAAGAGGAGAGUGGAAUUCCAUGUGUAGCGGUGAAAUGCGUAGAUAUAUGGAGGAACACCAGUAGCGAAGGCGGCUCUCUGGUCUGUAACUGACGCUGAGGCUCGAAAGCGUGGAGAGCAAACAGG